RNAcentral lists this ribosomal RNA (506 nucleotides) under uncultured bacterium. Its description in RNAcentral is "partial 16S ribosomal RNA". It matches the Rfam family "Bacterial small subunit ribosomal RNA", at positions 29 to 523 of the family's 1533-position model. The record is from RNAcentral.
AGUGAACGCUGGCGGUAGGCCUAACACAUGCAAGUCGAACGGCAGCACAGGAGAGCUUGCUCUCUGGGUGGCGAGUGGCGGACGGGUGAGGAAUACAUCGGAAUCUACUCUGUCGUGGGGGAUAACGUAGGGAAACUUACGCUAAUACCGCAUACGACCUACGGGUGAAAGCAGGGGAUCUUCGGACCUUGCGCGAUUGAAUGAGCCGAUGUCGGAUUAGCUAGUUGGCGGGGUAAAGGCCCACCAAGGCGACGAUCCGUAGCUGGUCUGAGAGGAUGAUCAGCCACACUGGACCUGAGACACGGUCCAGACUCCGACGGGAGGCAGCAGUGGGGAAUAUUGGACAAUGGGCGCAAGCCUGAUCCAGCCAUACCGCGUGGGUGAAGAAGGCCUUCGGGUUGUAAAGCCCUUUUGUUGGGAAAGAAAUCCAGCUGGCUAAUACCCGGUUGGGAUGACGGUACCCAAAGAAUAAGCACCGGCUAACUUCGUGCCAGCAGCCGCGGUAA